GGACGAACGCUGGCGGCGUGCCUAAUACAUGCAAGUCGAGCGGACUGAUUAAGAGCUUGCUCUUAUGACGUUAGCGGCGGACGGGUGAGUAACACGUGGGCAACCUGCCCUGUAGAUCGGGAUAACACCGAGAAAUCGGUGCUAAUACCGGGUAAUAUCUGAGAUCACAUGAUCUUAGGUUAAAAGAUGGCUCCGGCUAUCACUACAGGAUGGGCCCGCGGCGCAUUAGCUAGUUGGUAAGGUAAUGGCUUACCAAGGCGACGAUGCGUAGCCGACCUGAGAGGGUGAUCGGCCACACUGGGACUGAGACACGGCCCAGACUCCUACGGGAGGCAGCAGUAGGGAAUCUUCCGCAAUGGACGAAAGUCUGACGGAGCAACGCCGCGUGAGUGAUGAAGGGUUUCGGCUCGUAAAGCUCUGUUGUUAGGGAAGAAACAGUACCGAACGAACUAGGUCGGUACCUUGACGGUACCUAACCAGAAAGCCACGGCUAACUACGUG
Molecule: ribosomal RNA, 501 nt
Filed under: uncultured bacterium
Lineage: Bacteria
Description: partial 16S ribosomal RNA
Rfam family: Bacterial small subunit ribosomal RNA
Source: RNAcentral